RNAcentral lists this ribosomal RNA (254 nucleotides) under uncultured bacterium. Its description in RNAcentral is "partial 16S ribosomal RNA". It matches the Rfam family "Bacterial small subunit ribosomal RNA", at positions 524 to 776 of the family's 1533-position model. The record is from RNAcentral.
GACGUAGGAGGCGAGCGUUGUCCGGAUUCAUUGGGCGUAAAGAGCUCGUAGGCGGUUCCGUAAGUCAGAUGUGAAAACUCAGGGCUCAACCCGGAGACGCCAUCUGAUACUGCGGUGACUGGAGUCUGGUAGGGGAACACGGAAUUCCUGGUGUAGCGGUGAAAUGCGCAGAUAUCAGGAGGAAUACCAGCGGCGAAGGCGGCGCUCUGGGCCGGUACUGACGCUGAGGAGCGAAAGCGUGGGGAGCAAACAGG